AGGUCAAUGAUGUGGCAGUAUUGUAGCCAAUGAGGUUUAUCCAAGGCAAGAUUAUUGCUAAUUGGAAACUUUUCCCUAUUUAUAUUUCUUAAUUAUGUCUACUUCACGAGUGACCCAAGUACAAAAGCAAUGUUGAGAAAUACUUUCAUUCCUACUUCUUUCCAAAAGAAAAGU
RNAcentral lists this small nuclear RNA (174 nucleotides) under Erinaceus europaeus (western European hedgehog). Its description in RNAcentral is "U4 spliceosomal RNA". It matches the Rfam family "U4 spliceosomal RNA". From Rfam's summary of the family: U4 small nuclear RNA (U4 snRNA) is a component of the major U2-dependent spliceosome. The structure of U4 snRNA from yeast and human has been reported. Lineage: Eukaryota; Metazoa; Chordata; Mammalia; Eulipotyphla; Erinaceidae. The record is from Rfam by way of RNAcentral.